AUUGAACGCUGGCGGCAGGCUUAACACAUGCAAGUCGAGCGGGGUGAUGGUGCUUGCACUAUCACUUAGCGGCGGACGGGUGAGUAAUGCUUAGGAAUCUGCCUAUUAGUGGGGGACAACAUCUCGAAAGGGAUGCUAAUGCCGCAUACGUCCUACGGGAGAAAGCAGGGGAUCACUUGUGACCUUGCGCUAAUAGAUGAGCCUAAGUCGGAUUAGCUAGUUGGUGGGGUAAAGGCCUACCAAGGCGACGAUCUGUAGCGGGUCUGAGAGGAUGAUCCGCCACACUGGGACUGAGACCCGGCCCAGACUCCUACGGGAGGCAGCAGUGGGGAAUAUUAGACAAUGGGGGGAACCCUGAUCCAGCCAUGCCGCGUGUGUGAAGAAGGCCUUAUGGUUGUAAAGCACUUUAAGCGAGGAGGAGGCUCUUUUGGUUAAUACCCAAGAUGAGUGGACGUUACUCGCAGAAUAAGCACCGGCUAACUCUGUGCCAGCCGCCGCCGUAA
RNAcentral lists this ribosomal RNA (503 nucleotides) under uncultured bacterium. Its description in RNAcentral is "partial 16S ribosomal RNA". It matches the Rfam family "Bacterial small subunit ribosomal RNA", at positions 30 to 523 of the family's 1533-position model. The record is from RNAcentral.